Macrosteles quadrilineatus (aster leafhopper) is the source of this 2248-nucleotide RNA transcript. It is a transcript of the gene named protein LSM14 homolog A-like, with no coding region annotated. Lineage: Eukaryota; Metazoa; Arthropoda; Insecta; Hemiptera; Cicadellidae. The record is from RefSeq and is a predicted model, not a curated record. The transcript is spliced from 10 exons.
CUGUCUUCUCCUGGCUUGUGGCUGUGUCAUUUUGUUCUGUGAUGUGGUAGUGAUCGCUUGAAUCGCGAAGUUUCCAUCAUUUCAUUAGACCAUAAUGUCUUCAUCUAUGCCUGAGAUCGGUAGUAAAAUCAGUUUAAUAUCUAAAGCUGAUAUUAGAUACGAGGGGAAACUUUUUACAGUCGAUCCAAAUGAAUGUACAAUCGCUCUUUCUCAUGUGCGCUCGUUUGGUACAGAAGACAGGCAGGCGCAAUACCCAGUGCCUGCACAGAGUCAGGUGUAUGAAUAUAUUCUGUUCCGAGGAACAGACAUCAAGGACAUCAGUAUCAUCAAUACACAACAGCUUCCUGAUGAUCCGGCUAUCGUGAUGGGCAUGGGCCCAGGAGGGAUGUCCACCGGCAGUGGCAACUACCCAGGUCAGCCUGGCUUUAACCACACGAUGCCUUCGAUGCCGCCGCAGUACAGCGGCUACAGGGCCCCAGGGGUUGGUCGGACUGUAGGUCAUCAGCCGUUGUCAAGUGAGUUGCCAGACAGCCAUCUCCAGCACCCCCCUCCCCACCAGCCACCACCGACACAUCAGCCACCUCCUCAGGUUCAGGUCCAAGUGCCGGUCAUCCCUAUUGUAAAAGAGCCCAACAGCGAGCUGCUGUCUGGCUCUCGCUCGUCCACACCGUCUCUGUCUCGCAAGUCUCCCACCAACGACCAAGGUGUCCAAGUUUCACCCAAUAAGGACAAGAAGCCUAUUCAGCCCCCAAUACCUCGUGAUGGCCGUCAGAAUAGAAACGAUCGUUACCAAGACUCGUAUCAGAGGAGAGAUUACCGUGGACCAAGGGACAAUGAUUACAGGGACAGGAAUCAGAGGGAUGGAGAGUAUAGAGAUAGGAACCAGAGAGAUGGGGACUUUAGGGAUCGUGGUCAAAAUAAUGCACUCAAAGAAGACCACAGGAUGCAACGGCAAGGUUCACACGACCGCAGGGACCCGGACAACAGGAGAGAAUCCUUCCCAGGUCAGCAACAAGGUGGCAGGGGUCAGCAGAACCGAGGAGGCUGGGUGAACCGAGGUGGUCGAGGCGGUGGUCCUGGCAUGAGAGGUCGCGGUCGAGGCGGAGCACCAGGAAACUUCAACAGAGCCCCGGGCUCAGGGCAGGCGCAGCAGAACAAGAACAACACAGGCAAACAGAACACACUCAAGUUUGAAGAGGAGUAUGACUUUGACAAGGCCAACUCAGAGUUUGAAGAACUAAAAAAUAAAACAGCCAAGCUGAAAAUUUCUGAUGGAGAGGUAGAGAAGCCCAAGGUGAAUGGUGAAGACAAGAAGGACGACUCUGGCAAUGAGACUGGUCUGGGAGAGGGAGAGCCUGAGGAGGAGCCUGAACAGGAAGUCAUCUACUACGACAAGGCUAAGAGCUUCUUUGACAACAUCAGCUGUGAGGCAGUGGAGAGGAGCAAAGGACGAUCUCAGAGAACUGACUGGAGGACAGAGCGUAAACUUAACUCUGAAACAUUCGGAGUGGCUUUGGCACGACGAGGAGGCUACCGAGGCCGAGGCGGGUACUACGGUGGCCGUGGAGGUUACCGAGUGUACAACAACCGAGGCUACAACAACCAGCGAGGAGGUCGUAACCCUAUGAACAACACAGGCCAGCCCAGGCCUCUGCAUCAGCCACCCCAAGCUCCAGUGAAAUCAACACCCACUAGUAUUACCGUUGCAUCUUAAUUUACUUGACAUAAUUUUUACCGAAGAAGAUGGGAUUAGGCUGCAGUUAAAAACUGUGCAGCCAAAUAAACAUGAAGAAAGAUAUACUAUGAAUGUGAUGUGAUAGACUAUGGCUGGAUACAAUUUUACUACAAGUGACAAAGAGAUUAUUCCAGGAAAGGUUUUGUGUUUUGUGCUCGAUGAGACCUAGGAUGAGGCAGGGAGAAGACGGAAGUGGCGUGCUGGGUUGGAUCCGUUACGGAAGUGAAAGGAAAGGUUCUCAAAAGAGCAGUAACAUUUAUGUUAAGUAUUGUGGAUAAUUUAAGGCUGAAGGAAUGUGUAUUUUUCUUUUAAUUAUAAUGAUUUUAUAACUUUAAGCUCGUUUGGGUGCUGAAUGAUGGUUUACUUUUUUUAAACUUAAGUUAUUUAAAAUGUUAUAGUGAUUGUAGUUUAUUAUUGCUGAUGGUCUUUGAUUUUUAUUUCAAUCAUGCAAACAAAGUACAACCAUAUUUAUUUUUGUAUUUAUAAGAAAUAAAAUUUUAAUUUUAAACUUUA